GGUAGGGUGGCCGAGGUAGGCGGCAAGUUGUAGCCUUGUUUACGGGGUAAAGUCCCCCUCUUCCA
RNAcentral lists this transfer RNA (65 nucleotides) under Stenodactylus petrii. Its description in RNAcentral is "tRNA-Tyr". The record is from RNAcentral. Lineage: Eukaryota; Metazoa; Chordata; Lepidosauria; Squamata; Gekkonidae.